CGAACGCGAAAGGGGCUUCGGCCCUGAGUAGAGUGGCGAACGGGUGAGUAACACGUGGGUGAUCUACCUUCGAGUGGGGGAUAACGUCCCGAAAGGGACGCUAAUACCGCAUGACGUUCUGGGUUUAAAGACCUGGAAACCAAAGCCGGGGACCGCAAGGCCUGGCGCUUGAAGAGGAGCCCGCGUCCGAUUAGCUAGUUGGCGGGGUAAUGGCCCACCAAGGCGACGAUCGGUAGCCUGCCUGAGAGGGCGGACGGCCACACUGGAACUGAGACACGGUCCAGACUCCUACGGGAGGCAGCAGUGGGGAAUUGUUCACAAUGGGCGCAAGCCUGAUGACGCAACGCCGCGUGGGGGAUGAAGGUCUUCGGAUUGUAAACCCCUGUCGAAUGGGACGAAAGACCCGGGAGCUAAUCAUCCUGGGAGUGACGGUACCGUUAAAGGAAGCCACGGCUAACUCUGUGCCAGCAGCCGCGGUAAUACAGAGGUGGCAAGCGUUGUUCGGAAUUACUGGGCGUAAAGGGCGCGUAGGCGGCCAUCUAAGUCAGACGUGAAAUCCCCCGGCUUAACCUGGGAACUGCGUCUGAUACUGGACGGCUCGAGUAUGGGAGAGGGAUGUAGAAUUCCAGGUGUAGCGGUGAAAUGCGUAGAUAUCUGGAGGAAUACCGGUGGCGAAGGCGGCAUCCUGGACCAUUUACUGACGCUGAGGCGCGAAAGCUAGGGGAGCAAACGGGAUUAGAUACCCCGGUAGUCCUAGCCCUAAACGAUGAAUGCUUGGUGUGGCGGGUAUCGAUCCCUGCCGUGCCGAAGCUAACGCAUUAAGCAUUCC
This 829-nucleotide ribosomal RNA is filed under the name uncultured Bacillota bacterium. RNAcentral describes it as "bacterial SSU rRNA". It matches the Rfam family "Bacterial small subunit ribosomal RNA", at positions 63 to 870 of the family's 1533-position model. Lineage: Bacteria; Bacillati; Bacillota. The record is from RNAcentral.